This 253-nucleotide ribosomal RNA is filed under the name uncultured bacterium. RNAcentral's name for it is "partial 16S ribosomal RNA". It matches the Rfam family "Bacterial small subunit ribosomal RNA", at positions 524 to 776 of the family's 1533-position model. The record is from RNAcentral.
GACGAACCGUGCGACCGUUCUUCGGAAUCACUGGGCUUAAAGGGCGCGUAGGUGGUUGAUCAAGUCUGGGGUGAAAUCUUUCGGCUUAACCGGAAAAGUGCCUUGGAUACUGAUCAGCUGGAGGGAGGUAGGGGCAGUUGGAACUUCCAGUGGAGCGGUGAAAUGCGUUGAUAUUGGAAGGAACGCCGGUGGCGAAAGCGAACUGCUGGAACUCUUCUGACACUGAGGCGCGAAAGCUAGGGGAGCAAACGGG